AGCUUUGCUCAGUGGCAGUAUCGUAGCCAAUGAGGUUUAUCCGAGGCGUGAUUAUUACUAAUUGAAAACUUUUCCCAAUACCCCACCAUAACAACUUGAAAUAUAGUCGGCAUUGGCAAUUUUUGACAGUCUCUAUGGAGA
Molecule: small nuclear RNA, 141 nt
Organism: Callithrix jacchus (white-tufted-ear marmoset)
Lineage: Eukaryota; Metazoa; Chordata; Mammalia; Primates; Cebidae
Gene: U4
Rfam family: U4 spliceosomal RNA
About the family: U4 small nuclear RNA (U4 snRNA) is a component of the major U2-dependent spliceosome. The structure of U4 snRNA from yeast and human has been reported. U4 snRNA presents a k-turn RNA motif in the 5p-SL related to recognition of Snu13 protein.
Source: Ensembl